AAUUAAGUACUUCAAAUUCACUCCAUGUUGUUUAUUAUUUACUUACUUUCAUAUUCUGUGAUUUUAACUGUAUCACUUAAGUAUCCAAUAGUUUUUAUUUUCGUUUUUCAUUAAACCUUUUAUUAGAAUAAUCACGUGCCAUAUACGGGCAUCAUUAAGCCCGUAUAAAAUGUGAUGAAAAACUAAAUUUAACACAAUGUGAUGAAAAACUAAAAUAGAAAUCACAGAACACUUAAAUAAUACAUUUAAAAUCACAGUAUAUCAAAAUAAAAAAAGUUAAAUUAUAAAAAACCUUCUUAUAAAUAUCUGUGUUUUUACUUUUUCUUCCUAAUUUUCAAAAAUUUAUAUUUUAUCCUCUCAAUAUUUCAAAUUGUUACAUUUAGCACCCCUCCAUCAAGGUUCCAUCAUUAUUCCGUUUAUUUCUUAUAAUUUAUAUCGAAAAUGCCCUUCACGAUGGCAGAAAUAUAUUAAAAAAAAAAAUUUUUACAGAAGAAGUAAGGGUAAUUUUGUCAUUCUACCAUGUCCAUUAAUGCCGUGUCCCUUUGAAAAUAUUUUUAAAAUUUUAAGGAGGCAAAAUGAAGGUUUUUUAAAGUCAGCAAGAAAGAGUGAAAAAAUAGUUAUUUAUAGGAAUGUUUUAUAUGAUUUGGCCUAAAAAAAAAUGAUAAACUAUAUUGGAAGAUAUCUG
This 685-nucleotide long non-coding RNA is filed under the name Ananas comosus (pineapple). RNAcentral describes it as "long non-coding RNA (ACOM_LNC023700)". Lineage: Eukaryota; Viridiplantae; Streptophyta; Magnoliopsida; Poales; Bromeliaceae. The record is from RNAcentral.